GUCACUGAAAAGAACAAGCACUGUUUUCCUCACUCACUUCAGCUUCUUGGACAUCUACCCAACAGCAAACAAGAAACUACAUCAACCAAUAUGACCACUGGGAAUCUAGGGAAAAGAUUUAUUUCAUCCAAAAUUUUGGACAAAUGAUGAAUGGUUACUGGCUAGAAUGAAGGAAGGCUCUCUCUGCCAGAGUGGGGCAAUGGAUCCCAACCCUCAGCAUGCUGAAGAACUGGUGGGAAAGUUCAGCGGAGGAUGGAGAUCUACCUUUUUAAUUAAUUCUAAUGCAAGUGAUUCUUGGGGCAGAAUUGGAGAAAUUCUGGGUACAAUUGGCAUGAACAUAAAUGUUCACUGAAGAAAACUUAACAGUGACAACUAAUAGGUACUGCCUACUUACUGAAUAUCAGGCGCAAUCCUAGAUGAUAUACCAUCUCAGUGAAUCCUCAGAUCAACACCAUGAAGCUGGCACUAUCACACCCCUAUUUGACAGGGGAAGAAAUGGAGGUACCAUGUUCCAGCAACUUUCCAAAGCUGCAGAGCUGGACGGAGUAGAGCAGGGGCCUGACCCCAAGCCCCUGAAUUGUAACAGAUAGCUUAAUCCUUCCAUUUAUCCAUUUUUGUAACUAAAAUGGAAUCAGGCUGUCAUUUGUCACGUGUUCUUUUCACUUAUCACAUGUGACCUUCUUUGAUGGACAUGGUUGACAGUGUUCUGUGCCCCACCACUAUGGGACAUGUGCUUUCACAGGUAUCCAAUGUUCUCUGAGAUAUCAUAUCUGGGAUGCCAGAUUCUAAACCCCAAAGCCUCAGGAACAUCAGGCUGUAGCAGCUUAAGAUGAGAAGACAGCAAGGUGUGUGGGUUGGUUAAGAGUCUGACUCUUGAUUUCGCCUCAUGUCAUGAUCUCACGGUUAGUGAGAUCAAGCCCCGUGUAGGGCUCUGCACUGACGGCAUAGAGCCUGCUUGCAAUUCUCUUUCCCCCU
Molecule: long non-coding RNA, 975 nt
Organism: Felis catus (domestic cat)
Lineage: Eukaryota; Metazoa; Chordata; Mammalia; Carnivora; Felidae
Exons: 3
Source: RefSeq, a predicted model, not a curated record